GGAAAAUGGCCCUGAGGAUGGCCUCCCGGAGGAGGUAAGACCUGAAGAUUAAGAUCAGCCAUGCAAACAGAUAGGAGGAAAUGUUCCCAAGAAAAGAAGUAGCAGAUGAAUCAAUAAAAUAUGAAGACAAAAGUGCUCCAUGUUCUGGCCAAGGAUGAAUGUUCACCAACAGAUAUUCCUGAUUGUAAAGGGAAGCAUUUCAUCUCAAGACCCAGAUCCCAGAGACAAUUAUUGAUGAAUCCUGCAAUACCAUCAAGAAUAAAACACUCUUCUCCCA
Long non-coding RNA from Panthera uncia (snow leopard), 277 nucleotides. RefSeq lists it as uncharacterized. The transcript has 2 exons. Lineage: Eukaryota; Metazoa; Chordata; Mammalia; Carnivora; Felidae. The record is from RefSeq and is a predicted model, not a curated record.